Molecule: long non-coding RNA, 1328 nt
Filed under: Ursus maritimus (polar bear)
Lineage: Eukaryota; Metazoa; Chordata; Mammalia; Carnivora; Ursidae
Description: lncRNA (ENSUMAG00000007060.1)
Source: RNAcentral
CCCUCAUGCCAUCCCCACACAUCAGCCUCUGGGACAGGUAGGUGGUUAUUUUCACUUUCAGGGGCAGAAACUCAGAGACAGACGCUCAGGGAGGACCCGGGACUUGCCCAGCGUCGCGGCGGCGUGGGACUCUGAGCCCAGGUCCGUACAGCAGCUUGAUGCUCAGCGCUGUCCUGCUGCAUUGCUGAAGACGGUCCUCAGCACCAUGUCUAGGUCUCGGUUCCAUGGUCACCGGAGGGGUCCUGUGACACCGUCUCCUCUUCUAACUUCUGCUGGGACAGAGGGGACCCUUCUCUCUCCUUCUGAGGGCCACAGAGAAGAAAGGUGAUUUCCCCUGGGUCCCUCCAGGUGCAGUGCAAAGGCCCUGAGGCCUUCAGCUCGAGAUCAGCUACGGGCCUGGACCCCUGCAAUGGGCCUCCCACCUUCAGAAGUCACUGGGCCAGAAAUGCCGCUGAUGUCCAGUCUUCCUGUCAUCCCUCCUCAAGGCUGGAGUAAAAUCAGCUUCAGACCUUGGAGACUGAGGAAAAUCCCACCAAGCGCUGAGAACAAGGAGAGGAGUCAGAGAGCAAGGAAGGACGGUUCAUCUUGGGUCUUGGUGCCGACGCUUGAUUCACUGGAAGACGCCAGGGAGACAGGCCUGGAUUCUGACCCCUGCCUGCUCCUUCCUGAGCUUCAGUUUCUCCGUAAGAAUCCCAUAAGGGUUCAAUCUCUGGCCAAAGUGCCUGGCACGCAGUUGGUGCCAAAUAAAUGUUCACGGGCUCUGACUUGAAUGACUCUCAGAGCCGGCUUCAGUGUGUGGUGGGAACCUGACACAUCUUCAAGAGGCCUCACCUCCCAUCCACCCCCCUCAUCCCCUGCUGGCCUCCUGGGCAACCUUCCGGAAACACCCCCGGGUCACGUCAUGCUCCUGCUCCACAGCCAUCACUGGCUCCCAUGCUCAGCACAUGCUGGCCUUCCCUUUCCCCACCCCUAUUUACAGUUGAGAACACAGAGGCUCCGAGAGACGGGUGUGGCCCAGGUGUGGCCCAGCCCGGAUGAAAAUUCAGACCUUCUGCCCUCAACCUGGGACACCUAACACUCUCCAGCUCUAAUUCCCCUCCUUAGUGAGGCCCCGGGUACUUUCUCUCCCAUCCUCUUUUCUUUACUCCGCUGCAUAGACUACCACGUGCAAUUACCGAGUUUAUUAUCGGUGUCCUUGUUUAUCGUUGCCUCUCUCUCAAGAACAUGAGCCCCAUGAAAUCACGGACCUGGUUUGUCAUGUUCACCGAAUCCCGGGCACAGAGCAGGGAGUCAAUAAAUUCUUCUUGAACAGUUGUUGGAAGAACUAA